UCCUACGGGAGGCAGCAGUCGGGAAUUUUGGGCAAUGGGCGAAAGCCUGAUCCAGCAACGCCGCGUGAGGGAUGAAGUAUUUCGGUAUGUAAACCUCGAAAGAAUAGGAAGAAUAAAUGACGGUACUAUUUAUAAGCUCCGGCUAACUACGUGCCAGCAGCCGCGGUAAUACGUAGGGAGCAAGCGUUGUUCGGAUUUACUGGGCGUAAAGGGCGCGUAGGCGGCAUAUUAAGUCAGCUGUGAAAUCUCCGAGCUUAACUCGGAACUGUCAGCUGAUACUGAUGUGCUAGAGUGCAGAAGGGGCAAUCGGAAUUCUUGGUGUAGCGGUGAAAUGCGUAGAUAUCAAGAGGAACACCUGAGGUGAAGACGGGUUGCUGGGCUGACACUGACGCUGAGGCGCGAAAGCCAGGGGAGCAAACGGGAUUAGAUACCCCGGUAGUCCUGGCCCUAAACGAUGAAUACUUGGUGUCUGGAGUUUCAAUACUCCGGGUGCCGUCGCUAACGUUUUAAGUAUUCCGCCUGGGGAGUACGCACGCAAGUGUGAAACUCAAAGGAAUUGACGGGGACCCGCACAAGCGGUGGAGCAUGUGGUUUAAUUCGACGCAACGCGAAGAACCUUACCUAGGCUAGAAUGUGAGGGAAUUCUGGGUAAUGCCAGAAGUCCGGGAAACCGGACCCAAAACAAGGUGCUGCAUGGCUGUCGUCAGCUCGUGUCGUGAGAUGUUGGGUUAAGUCCCGCAACGAGCGCAACCCUUAUCAACAGUUGCCAUCAUUAAGUUGGGAACUCUGUUGAGACUGCCGUUGAUAAAACGGAGGAAGGUGGGGAUGACGUCAAGUCAGCAUGGCCUUUAUGUCCAGGGCCACACACGUGCUACAAUGGCGGAUACAAAGCGUCGCAAUCUCGCAAGGGUGAGCUAAUCGCAUAAAGUCCGUCUCAGUUCGGAUUGUCGGCUGCAACUCGCCGGCAUGAAGUUGGAAUCGCUAGUAAUCGC
RNAcentral lists this ribosomal RNA (992 nucleotides) under uncultured Acidobacteriota bacterium. RNAcentral describes it as "bacterial SSU rRNA". It matches the Rfam family "Bacterial small subunit ribosomal RNA", at positions 337 to 1345 of the family's 1533-position model. Lineage: Bacteria; Pseudomonadati; Acidobacteriota. The record is from RNAcentral.